ACACAUGCAAGUCGAGGGGCAGCGGGAUUGAAGCUUGCUUCAAUUGCCGGCGACCGGCGCACGGGUGAGUAACGCGUAUCCAACCUUCCGUACACUCAGGGAUAGCCUUUCGAAAGAAAGAUUAAUACCUGAUGGUAUGAUGAGAUUGCAUGAUAGCAUCAUUAAAGAUUCAUCGGUGUACGAUGGGGAUGCGUUCCAUUAGGUGGUAGGCGGGGUAACGGCCCACCUAGCCUACGAUGGAUAGGGGUUCUGAGAGGAAGGUCCCCCACAUUGGAACUGAGACACGGUCCAAACUCCUACGGGAGGCAGCAGUGAGGAAUAUUGGUCAAUGGACGAGAGUCUGAACCAGCCAAGUAGCGUGAAGGAUGAAGGUCCUACGGAUUGUAAACUUCUUUUAUAAGGGAAUAAAACCUCCCACGUGUGGGAGCUUGUAUGUACCUUAUGAAUAAGCAUCGGCUAACUCCGUGCCAGCAGCCGCGGUAAUACGGAGGAUGCGAGCGUUAUCCGGAUUUAUUGGGUUUAAAGGGAGCGCAGACGGGUCGUUAAGUCAGCUGUGAAAGUUUGGGGCUCAACCUUAAAAUUGCAGUUGAUACUGGCGUCCUUGAGUGCGGUUGAGGUGUGCGGAAUUCGUGGUGUAGCGGUGAAAUGCUUAGAUAUCACGAAGAACUCCGAUUGCGAAGGCAGCACACUAAGCCGUAACUGACGUUCAUGCUCGAAAGUGUGGGUAUCAAACAGGAUUAGAUACCCUGGUAGUCCACACGGUAAACGAUGGAUACUCGCUGUUGGCGAUAUACUGUCAGCGGCUUAGCGAAAGCGUUAAGUAUCCCACCUGGGGAGUACGCCGGCA
This 847-nucleotide ribosomal RNA is filed under the name uncultured bacterium. RNAcentral describes it as "bacterial SSU rRNA". It matches the Rfam family "Bacterial small subunit ribosomal RNA", at positions 51 to 890 of the family's 1533-position model. The record is from RNAcentral.